This 626-nucleotide ribosomal RNA is filed under the name uncultured bacterium. RNAcentral describes it as "bacterial SSU rRNA". It matches the Rfam family "Bacterial small subunit ribosomal RNA", at positions 8 to 612 of the family's 1533-position model. The record is from RNAcentral.
AGAGUUUGAUCCUGGCUCAGAACGAACGCUGGCGGCGUGCUUAACACAUGCAAGUCGAACGAGAAAGUUCCUUCGGGAACGAGUAAAGUGGCGCACGGGUGAGUAACGCGUAGAUAACCUGUCCAGGUGUAUGGGAUAGCCCUUCGAAAGGGGGAUUAAUACCGUAUACGUUGGUCUUCUUUAAGGAGGAUCAAGAAAGGUGGCCUCUAUUUAUAAGCUAUCGCAUUUGGAGGGGUCUGCGUACCAUUAGUUUGUUGGUGGGGUAAUGGCCUACCAAGACUUCGAUGGUUAGCGGGUCUGAGAGGAUGAUCCGUCACACUGGCACUGAAACACGGGCCAGACUCCUACGGGAGGCAGCAGUGAGGAAUAUUGCGCAAUGGGGGAAACCCUGACGCAGCGACGCCGCGUGGGUGAGGAAGGCUUUCGGGUCGUAAAGCCCUGUCAGAAGGGAAGAAAUGUUUACAGGAUAAUACCCUGUAGAUUUGACGGUACCUUCAAAGGAAGCACCGGCUAACUCCGUGCCAGCAGCCGCGGUAAUACGGAGGGUGCAAGCGUUGUUCGGAAUCACUGGGCGUAAAGGGCGCGCAGGCGGUUUGAUUAGUCAGAUGUGAAAGCCCACGGCUUAA